RNAcentral lists this ribosomal RNA (950 nucleotides) under Listeria monocytogenes. Its description in RNAcentral is "partial 23S ribosomal RNA". It matches the Rfam family "Bacterial large subunit ribosomal RNA", at positions 1 to 943 of the family's 2925-position model. Lineage: Bacteria; Bacillati; Bacillota; Bacilli; Caryophanales; Listeriaceae. The record is from RNAcentral.
UUGGUUAAGUUAGAAAGGGCGCACGGUGGAUGCCUUGGCACUAGGAGCCGAAGAAGGACGGGACUAACACCGAUAUGCUUUGGGGAGCUGUACGUAAGCGUUGAUCCAGAGAUUUCCGAAUGGGGGAACCCACUAUCUUUAGUCGGAUAGUAUCCUUACGUGAAUACAUAGCGUGAGGAAGGCAGACCCAGGGAACUGAAACAUCUAAGUACCUGGAGGAAGAGAAAGAAAAAUCGAUUUCCUGAGUAGCGGCGAGCGAAACGGAAAGAGCCCAAACCAAGAAGCUUGCUUCUUGGGGUUGUAGGACACUCUAUACGGAGUUACAAAAGAAAGUUAUAAAUGAAGCGGUCUGGAAAGGCCCGCCAAAGACGGUAACAGCCCGGUAGUUGAAAUGGCUUUCCCUCCAGAGUGGAUCCUGAGUACGGCGGAACACGUGAAAUUCCGUCGGAAUCCGGGAGGACCAUCUCCCAAGGCUAAAUACUCCCUAGUGACCGAUAGUGAACCAGUACCGUGAGGGAAAGGUGAAAAGCACCCCGGAAGGGGAGUGAAACAGUUCCUGAAACCGUGUGCCUACAAGUAGUUAGAGCCCGUUAAUGGGUGAUAGCGUGCCUUUUGUAGAAUGAACCGGCGAGUUACGAUUUGUUGCAAGGUUAAGCGGAAAAAGCGGAGCCGUAGCGAAAGCGAGUCUGAAUAGGGCGCAUAAGUAACAGGUCGUAGACCCGAAACCAGGUGAUCUACCCAUGUCCAGGAUGAAGGUAAGGUAAUACUUACUGGAGGUCCGAACCCACGCACGUUGAAAAGUGCGGGGAUGAGGUGUGGGUAGCGGAGAAAUUCCAAUCGAACUUGGAGAUAGCUGGUUCUCUCCGAAAUAGCUUUAGGGCUAGCCUCGAGGUAAAGAGUCAUGGAGGUAGAGCACUGUUUGGACUAGGGGCCCUUCUCGGGUUACCGAA